This 505-nucleotide ribosomal RNA is filed under the name uncultured bacterium. RNAcentral describes it as "bacterial SSU rRNA". It matches the Rfam family "Bacterial small subunit ribosomal RNA", at positions 29 to 531 of the family's 1533-position model. The record is from RNAcentral.
AAUAAGCGCUGGCGGCGUGCCUAACACAUGCAAGUCGAGCGAGAAAGCUCCUUCGGGAGUUAGUAAAGCGGCGAACGGGUGAGCAACACGUGAGAAUCUACCCUUUAGUGAAGAAUACCCUCGAGAAAUCGAGGCUAAUACUGCAUACGUCCCUUCGGGGAGAAAGAUGGCCUCUUUGCUAUCGCUAAAGGAUGAGCUUGCGUACUAUUAGCUAGUUGGCGGGGUAAAGGCCCACCAAGGCAAUGAUGGUUAACCGGCCUGAGAGGGUGUACGGUCACACUGGAACUUAGACACGGUCCAGACUCCUACGGGAGGCAGCAGUGAGGAAUCUUGCGCAAUGGGCGAAAGCCUGACGCAGCGACGCCGCGUGGAGGAUGACGGUUUUCGGAUUGUAAACUCCUGUUAAGCGGGAAGAAAGCCUUGUUUCUAAUACAAGCAAGGUAUGACGGUACCGCUAGAGAAAGCACCGGCUAACUUCGUGCCAGCAGCCGCGGUAAUGUGCGCG